Molecule: ribosomal RNA, 468 nt
Filed under: uncultured bacterium
Lineage: Bacteria
Description: partial 16S ribosomal RNA
Rfam family: Bacterial small subunit ribosomal RNA
Source: RNAcentral
GACGAACGCUGGCGGCGUGCUUAACACAUGCAAGUCGAACGGAAAGGCCCUGCUUUUGUGGGGUGCUCGAGUGGCGAACGGGUGAGUAACACGUGAGUAACCUGCCCUUGACUGUGGGAUAACUUCAGGAAACUGGGGCUAAUACCGGAUAGGAGCUCCUGCUGCAUGGGGGGGGUUGGAAAGUUUCGGCGGUUGGGGAUGGACUCGCGGCUUAUCAGCUUGUUGGUGGGGUAGUGGCUUACCAAGGCUUUGACGGGUAGCCGGCCUGGGAGGGUGACCGGCCACAUUGGGACUGAGAUACGGACCAGACUCCUACGGGAGGCAGCAGUGGGGAGUAUUGCGCAAUGGGCGGAAGCCUGAUGCAGCAAUGCCGCGUGCGGGAUGACGGCCUUCGGGUUGUAAACCGCUUUCGCAUGUGCCGAAGCGUGAGUGACGGUAAUGGGUAAAGAAGCACCGGCUAACUACGUG